AUGCAACAGACUCCGAGAGGCAAGAAAAGAAGACACAGGACAAGAAGUGGAGGAGGAGAAGGAAUCAGCAAGAAGGGAGGAGGGGAGAGGGGAGGCAAGUGGCAGGGCACAGACACAGAACCGAAGCUCGGACUCUUUAGACCUUCCUCCACUCACACCCUUGCACGGCCUUGCACACCCCACCACCUGGCUCCACGUUAUCCAGCUGCUCUGAGAGCCACAACAGACUUCCCAGGAUCCCUGCGACUGCAGGGACUCCGUCCCACCCCUAUCCCUCAGGAAACGUGGCCUGAAGAAGCCCUGGGGUCACAAGACAGGGUCCCUACCUCGGACCUCCAUGCGGAUGCUGCUCUCGAUGCCAUUGGCCACGAACUUGAGCUCCGCCCCGUGCAGGCUGACAGGCACCGAGCGGAUGGUGAGAGUGUGGAACUCUCCCUCCUCGGCCACGCCAGCCACAGUCAGCUCCGGCGUUGUCACCCACUCAUCUUCAUGGCAACGGCUCCAGGUAUAGGCGCCCAGCCUCUUCUUCUCCACCAGGUAGCCCUCAAUGGCAGCAGGGCGGUCCCCAGCAGGUGGCGGGGACCAGCCAAGAGUUACGGAGCUCUCUGUCUGGGCCUUCACCACGGGGGCUUCAGGAGCAUGCAGGGGCGGCCUCCUGGGGGCUGA
Molecule: long non-coding RNA, 666 nt
Filed under: Bos grunniens (domestic yak)
Lineage: Eukaryota; Metazoa; Chordata; Mammalia; Artiodactyla; Bovidae
Description: lncRNA (ENSBGRG00000003355.1)
Source: RNAcentral